Molecule: ribosomal RNA, 209 nt
Filed under: uncultured bacterium
Lineage: Bacteria
Description: partial 16S ribosomal RNA
Rfam family: Bacterial small subunit ribosomal RNA
Source: RNAcentral
UACGUAGGGGGGCUAGCGUUGUCCGGAAUCAUUGGGCGUAAAGCGCGUGUAGGCGGUCCGGUAAGUCCGCUGUGAAAGUCGAGGGCUCAACCCUCGAAUGCCGGUGGAUACUGUCGGGCUAGAGUGCGGAAGAGGCGAGUGGAAUUCCUGGUGUAGCGGUGAAAAUGCGCAGAUAUCAGGAAAGAACACCAAUGGCGAAGGCAGCUCUG